UGGGGAAUCUUCCGCAAUGGACGAAAGUCUGACGGAGCAACGCCGCGUGAGUGAUGACGGCCUUCGGGUUGUAAAGCUCUGUUAAUCGGGACGAAUGGUUCUUGUGCGAAUAGUGCGAGGAUUUGACGGUACCGGAAUAGAAAGCCACGGCUAACUACGUGCCAGCAGCCGCGGUAAUACGUAGGUGGCAAGCGUUGUCCGGAAUUAUUGGGAGUAAAGCGCGCGCAGGCGGAUUGGUCAGUCUGUCUUAAAAGUUCGGGGCUUAACCCCGUGAUGGGAUGGAAACUGCCAAUCUAGAGUAUCGGAGAGGAAAGUGGAAUUCCUAGUGUAGCGGUGAAAUGCGUAGAUAUUAGGAAGAACACCAGUGGCGAAGGCGACUUUCUGGACGAAAACUGACGCUGAGGCGCGAAAGCCAGGGGAGCGAACGGG
RNAcentral lists this ribosomal RNA (429 nucleotides) under bacterium. RNAcentral's name for it is "partial 16S ribosomal RNA". It matches the Rfam family "Bacterial small subunit ribosomal RNA", at positions 355 to 776 of the family's 1533-position model. The record is from RNAcentral.